RNAcentral lists this transfer RNA (86 nucleotides) under Caudoviricetes sp. RNAcentral's name for it is "tRNA-OTHER". Lineage: Duplodnaviria; Heunggongvirae; Uroviricota; Caudoviricetes. The record is from RNAcentral.
GCAUUGAUAAAUCAAGGUUUUUCUUUCCCCUGCUAAGGGAGUAGGCGUGUAAAAAGCGCGCGAGGGUUCAAAUCCCUCCUUCUGCG